UACGUAGGGUGCGAGCGUCGCCCGGAUUCAUUGGGCGUAAAGGGCGCGUAGGCGGCCCGGCGCGUCAUGCGUGAAAUCUCCCGGCUCAACUGGGAGGGGUCGUGUGAUACGGUCGGGCUGGAGUGAGGCAGGGGGCAGCGGAAUUCCCGGUGUAGUGGUGGAAUGCGUAGAUAUCGGGAGGAACACCAGUGGCGAAGGCGGCUGCCUGGGCCUUUAUGCUGACGCUGAGGCGCGAAAGCGUGGGGAGCGAUCCGG
RNAcentral lists this ribosomal RNA (255 nucleotides) under uncultured bacterium. RNAcentral's name for it is "partial 16S ribosomal RNA". It matches the Rfam family "Bacterial small subunit ribosomal RNA", at positions 524 to 776 of the family's 1533-position model. The record is from RNAcentral.